AUAAAGUUCAGUCCUAGGGUAAUAACGGUACCCCCAGAACUGGAAGUGCAGACCCGGGAGAGGACGUGGUGAAGAAGAAAUCUCCAGCCACUGCUGAGGAGAGCAGCAGGAAAUGCCAACAUGUCCUGGCAGAACUGGAGAGUGUCCUUGGACACCUAGAGGGUCUUUUUGCCUGAACGUUAGCACAAGUGCUGAUGCUCCUUGGGGGCAAUGCCUGAAGUUCCAAGGAGUUCUAUUUUAAUCAAUAGAAACUGAUAAAAGGCCAGAUGAAGAACUCAGGCAAUGCUUUAUUGGGACUCACGCUGCUGCAAAGGGAGAGAAAAUGAAGAACAGGUGCCCUUCCUCACACUCUCCAAGGAAGGCAUGCUGGGGGGAGGGGAGGGCAGAUAGGCCAGUCAGGCUAGAAGGGUGGCUUACGUGGUCUGCUCACCCUCUUGGUAGUGCUGUGUGCAGGUAUCAUGGGUAGGACCUUGCUUUUGCUCUCAGCACAUCAGAAAGCUUAGUUGAUAUUUGUCCAAGUACAAGUGCAAGCCCUCCAUAAAGAGUCCCAGGUCCCAGCCGGUCUCAUUCCUACCACCUUGACUUGUCCUGCUUGACCAUCAAUAGCAUGGACCCGAGCUUAAGCACAGCAGCUUGUUUGCGCCGUCUCUUGCGAGCCAUUUUCCUUGUGGAUGCCUUCGGUGAGCUGCAGCAACUCUGCUCAUGGGCACCAUGGGCACAGCACAGGGCAACUGUGACUGUGAAGACUGGUCUGGACCCAAGCUCAGCUAUAGAGUGCCCAGCCAGGGUCACAAAUUGACCUUGUUCUGCAGAUGACUCUCCAUCCCAACCACAGCUUGGAAAGAUUACAUUUGGCUCCUGGCACUAGUGACACUAAAAGUCUUCCGUGAGUGAACUGGAUGCUUCUCAAUCACGAACACAAUGGCUAAAUUAUCUUUCCUCUGGUGGCACCAAGUGACUCAUCUUUUGUUUGGAGCUGGUUACUUCCUGGUGAGAGGAAGUUUCUGUCCUUCUGGUUGCCUUCCUGUCUCUCUUCCUGGUGGGCUGAUGGUAUGGUUAGGGCUGUAAUACUGUCAUAGAACAUCUUUUUGAAUCAAAGACUAAUUUUCCCAGAGAUUGUGGAGUCGAGUAUUUCUAUUUGAGGUAGGAAAGCAAACACGGACCCAUAAAUAGACACUCAUAUGGUCCUUUUCUCCUAUUUCUGUGGCUUUUCAUAAUUUUUACCAGGGACAUAAUGUGGGUAUGACUCAUGAACCUAAAUAUAAUGCGAAUGGAUUCAUAGUAACUUUUCCUGAAACUAAAAAAAAAUCAGUCCCAUCAUAAUCAUGGUAGCUUACUUCACAUGUGGAAAGCUUUAAAAGGUCACUUCCAGAUGAUGUCCUUGG
Molecule: long non-coding RNA, 1385 nt
Organism: Bos taurus (domestic cattle)
Lineage: Eukaryota; Metazoa; Chordata; Mammalia; Artiodactyla; Bovidae
Source: Ensembl